Molecule: ribosomal RNA, 517 nt
Filed under: uncultured bacterium
Lineage: Bacteria
Description: bacterial SSU rRNA
Rfam family: Bacterial small subunit ribosomal RNA
Source: RNAcentral
GAACUUAGCAGAGAUGCUUUGGUGCCUUCGGGAACUCUGAGACAGGUGCUGCAUGGCUGUCGUCAGCUCGUGUUGUGAAAUGUUGGGUUAAGUCCCGNAACGAGCGCAACCCUUUAUCCUUUGUUGCCAGCGGUUCGGCCGGGAACUCAAAGGAGACUGCCGGUGAUAAACCGAAGGAAGGUGGGGAUGACGUCAAGUCAUCAUGGCCCUUACGGCCAGGGCUACACACGUGCUACAAUGGCGCAUACAAAGAGAAGCGACCUCGCGAGAGCAAGCGGACCUCAUAAAGUGCGUCGUAGUCCGGAUUGGAGUCUGCAACUCGACUCCAUGAAGUCGGAAUCGCUAGUAAUCGUAGAUCAGAAUGCUACGGUGAAUACGUUCCCGGGCCUUGUACACACCGCCCGUCACACCAUGGGAGUGGGUUGCAAAAGAAGUAGGUAGCUUAACCUUCGGGAGGGCGCUUACCACUUUGUGAUUCAUGACUGGGGUGAAGUCGUAACAAGGUAAGCGUAGCGAG